CAGCCGCCGCGGGAAUACGAAGGGGGCUAGCGUUGUUCGGAUUUACUGGGCGUAAAGCGCACGUAGGCGGAUCGAUCAGUCAGGGGUGAAAUCCCAGAGCUCAACUCUGGAACUGCCUUUGAUGCUGUCGAUCUGGAGUAUGGAAGAGGUGAGUGGAAUUCCGAGUGUAGAGGUGAAAUUCGUUGAUAUUCGGAGGAACACCAGUGGCGAAGGCGGCUCACUGGUCCAUUACUGACGCUGAGGUGCGAAAGCGUGGGGAGCAAACAGGAUUAGAUACCCGGGUAGUCCCUGUCUCUUAUAC
This 301-nucleotide ribosomal RNA is filed under the name uncultured bacterium. Its description in RNAcentral is "partial 16S ribosomal RNA". It matches the Rfam family "Bacterial small subunit ribosomal RNA", at positions 509 to 807 of the family's 1533-position model. The record is from RNAcentral.